RNAcentral lists this non-coding RNA (29 nucleotides) under Rattus norvegicus (Norway rat). Lineage: Eukaryota; Metazoa; Chordata; Mammalia; Rodentia; Muridae. The record is from RNAcentral.
UUGGGCAGUUUAAUGACUAGGCCGUGAGC